This 65-nucleotide microRNA precursor is filed under the name Procavia capensis (Cape rock hyrax). RNAcentral describes it as "microRNA 377 (ENSPCAG00000019985.1)". The record is from RNAcentral. Lineage: Eukaryota; Metazoa; Chordata; Mammalia; Hyracoidea; Procaviidae.
GAGCAGAAGCUGCUCUUGGUGAAUUCACUUUAUGUUGAAUCACACAAAGGCAGCUUUUGUUUGAG